This 451-nucleotide ribosomal RNA is filed under the name uncultured bacterium. RNAcentral describes it as "partial 16S ribosomal RNA". It matches the Rfam family "Bacterial small subunit ribosomal RNA", at positions 29 to 523 of the family's 1533-position model. The record is from RNAcentral.
AGCGAACGCUGGCGGCAGGCCUAACACAUGCAAGUCGAGCGGGCGUAGCAAUACGUCAGCGGCAGACGGGAGAGUAACACGUGGGAACGUGCCCUUUGGUUCGGAAUAACUCAGGGAAACUUGAGCUAAUACCGGAUAAGCCCUUCGGGGGAAAGAUUUAUUGCCAUUGGAGCGGCCCGCGUCGGAUUAGCUAGUUGGUGAGGUAAUGGCUCACCAAGGCGACGAUCCGUAGCUGGUCUGAGAGGAUGACCAGCCUCACUGGGACUGAGACACGGCCCAGACUCCUACGGGAGGCAGCAGUGGGGAAUAUUGGACAAUGGGCGCAAGCCUGAUCCAGCCAUGCCGCGUGGAUGAUGAAGGCCCUAGGGUUGUAAAGUCCUUUUAACGGGGAAGAUAAUGACGGUACCCGUAGAAUAAGCCCCGGCUAACUUCGUGCCAGCCGCCGCGGUAA